AUUUCACUGAUUGUCUUCCUACAACACAUUUACCACCUACAACCCAUUUAUCACCUACAACAUAUUUACCACCUACUACACCAAAUCCUCCACCUGCUUAUAAAUAUGUCCUUUCUGUUGAGAUGAACAUCACAGAUUUGACAACAGUCAACAUGUUGAGGAGCAUUCUGAGAAACAUCUCCUACCCACUCAGUAUCAAGAGAAACACACAGAUCAAUCAGUCCAAUAUCACUACAGUUUGCACUCCAAUCAAUAAUGGUCACCAGUGCAUUUGUGAGGACCAGUAUCGGUGGUCAUGUGACCAGUGUCUGAUGUAUGGAGCAUGUGACCAGAUCUCUGCAGGCUCAUGUGGAUGCAUCAACGCCAUUCCUUCUGACAGAAACUUCUGCCAGUCUCUGUAUCAACACAGUAAGAAGUUU
Oryzias latipes (Japanese medaka) is the source of this 419-nucleotide non-coding RNA. Lineage: Eukaryota; Metazoa; Chordata; Actinopteri; Beloniformes; Adrianichthyidae. The record is from RefSeq and is a predicted model, not a curated record.